This 234-nucleotide unclassified non-coding RNA is filed under the name plant metagenome. RNAcentral describes it as "partial contains small subunit ribosomal RNA, internal transcribed spacer 1, and 5.8S ribosomal RNA". The record is from RNAcentral.
UUUCCGUAGGUGAACCUGCGGAAGGAUCAUUAAAGUUAUAGUCCCCCGGCCCUCUGGGCUGGGGUCUUCUAUACCACCCUUUGUUUAUUACACCUUUGUUGCUUUGGCAGGCCUGCCCUCGGGCUGCUGGCUCCGGCCGGCUCGCCUCUGCCAGAGGACCUAAACUCUGUUUGUAUAUGGAGUCUGAGUACUAUAUAAUAGUUAAAACUUUCAACAACGGAUCUCUUGGUUCUG